This is a long non-coding RNA of Ipomoea nil (Japanese morning glory), 1014 nucleotides long. RefSeq lists it as uncharacterized. The record is from RefSeq and is a predicted model, not a curated record. The transcript is spliced from 4 exons. NCBI's taxonomy places the organism in Eukaryota, Viridiplantae, Streptophyta, Magnoliopsida, Solanales, Convolvulaceae.
UCCGAUGCUGUACAGAAAGCUCUUAUGACAUUGUUAAGGCAGAUCAAGACCUGUUUAACUGCUUGUUCAAGCAUAUCGGCGGUAACACCGAGGACCAAAGUGCGGAGAAAUUAAGUACAUGGGAGAGCAUUCGUGAAAGAAAAGGUCAUUGAAAGAGCUUAUAAGAAGCUUGCACUUGAUGCUUUGGUUAUCCAACAAGGGAAGACUGGCAGAGCAAAAAGCUAAGCUGUAAAUAAGGAUGAGCAACUGCAGCUGGUGAGGAGAUGGUUUUUUGUUCCAACGAUAGCAGUAUAGCACAAUCACAGAUGAAGAUAUAGAUAUGAUCAUCUUAAGGUCUCGAGAAGUAAAUAAUUCUAUUUGACCACUGUACAUUGCUAACAUCAAGAAAUGAAAUAAUCGAGUUGGGCCGCUAAAAUAGCUAAAGUAGUUAUAAAUCCUGUCAAUAAAAUAAGGCCUACAGAAAGUCCAUCUAUUCCCAAUCUCCAAUGGCAAUCAAAAAAUUGAUCCAUAUAAGUCUCCUCUAAUUGGAUUAAUGAAUCGUCCACCUGGAAAUGAAAACAAAAUGUAUAAGUCAUUGUAAGGAUUCUAAAAUACAUAUACAAAGUGUAUGUCAUCUAAUUACCCUAUUUCCUUUAUGGGGAAGAAAGAAAACGAUGGAACCUGCAAAUAUUGGAAAAACGACAAUUAUUGUUAGCAUAAUCACAGAUGAAGAUAUAAAUAGGACCAUUGCUAAAGGAGAAGAGGCUACGAACCAAGAUGAAGAAGUUUACAGAAGAUGCUAUCAAGUUUAAGAUGGAUACUUGUAUGCUUUUUUUCAAUUUCCCCCUCUCUGGGCUAAUUUAGAUCUCAUUUUAUGUAGCUGAGGAUAUCUAUGACUUUGAUGAUGAAAAGGUUAGUUGGUCUAUGAUUUUUUGUUUUUUGGGGUUCUUUCUCUGAUGCUAUUUUACUUGUUGCUGAUGGAGGAUGAAAAUAAGAUUUAUUUUAAGAAGAUUGCCAGUGAAAACUGGAUUGAGC